CUAUUUUCUUAUUUUAGAUAUUUUUAUCUCGAAUUGUGCAACGCUUCACUGGACAAUAUAUUCCUGAAAGAUGAGGACCCGAAAAAAUACCAUUGGCCCAGCAAUGCCACCGGCAAUUAGAGUCCUUCAUCAAUUGGCCGGAGGACUCGAGUACAUCCACCAAAAGAAACUAAUCCAUCGGGAUAUCAAACCUCAAAACGUGCUCAUUUGGGUUGAUCCACUAACUCAAAAAGUAUUGAUGAAAUGGGCCGAUUUCGGGUUGAGCAAACGGGUCAACAGAAGAGGAAGUCACUCAAUCAGUGGAUCAAACAGAGGCACCGAUAUUAUUGGUAUGCCCCUGAAAUAGUAUUAAUCAAAAUUCAAGAAGAAGAAGAAAAUGGAAAAGAUGAAACAGCAGCACAUCAAAGAGGAACAUGAGUCAAGAGCGACGUAUUUUCUCAAGGCUUAGUCUUCGGCUACUACCUUUUGAAUGGUCAACAUAUUUUCGGUUCAAGAGUUCUAGCAUCCGCUAAUAUACUUUCAAAUAAUCCCGUUCAUCUAGACAAAAUUCAGCCGCAAUCCGUUCGCGACCUCAUCCAAAAAAUGUUGGAACCCGGCCGCGAAGUUCGAAUUUCCUCGUCAGACGUUUUUCAACUUCUUCAACAUCAUCAGCAGCUCGAGAUGAAAAACGACAAGUCUUGAAAUGUUUUUAGAAAGAUACUGCCAAGGCAACGAUUGCUUUUUUUCUAAAUGACAUCCAUUCUAAUUAUUCCAUUUUAUUAUUAUUUUCCUUUGUAAUGAGUUUUCAGUUGGAUACCCUAAUAAACUUUGCUGAAUACC
Molecule: long non-coding RNA, 819 nt
Organism: Daphnia pulex (common water flea)
Lineage: Eukaryota; Metazoa; Arthropoda; Branchiopoda; Diplostraca; Daphniidae
Exons: 2
Source: RefSeq, a predicted model, not a curated record